UACGUAGGGUGCAAGCGUUAAUCGGAUUUACUGGGCGUAAAGCGCGUGUAGGCGGUUCGGUAAGUUGGAUGCGAAAGCUCCUGGCUUAACUGGGAGAGGUCGUUCAAAACUACCGGACUUGAGAGUGGUAGAGGGAGUUGGAAUUCCGGGUGUAGUGGUAAAAUGCGUAGAUAUCCGGAAGAACACCAGUGGCGAAAGCGGACUCCUGGACCAUUUCUGACGCUCAGACGCGAAAGCUAGGGUAGCGAACGGGAUUAGAAACCCCGGUAGU
This 271-nucleotide ribosomal RNA is filed under the name uncultured archaeon. RNAcentral describes it as "partial 16S ribosomal RNA". It matches the Rfam family "Bacterial small subunit ribosomal RNA", at positions 524 to 794 of the family's 1533-position model. The record is from RNAcentral.